Molecule: long non-coding RNA, 1431 nt
Filed under: Lathyrus oleraceus (garden pea)
Lineage: Eukaryota; Viridiplantae; Streptophyta; Magnoliopsida; Fabales; Fabaceae
Description: Pisum sativum (pea) long non-coding RNA (PSAT_LNC018508)
Source: RNAcentral
CAUCACGGUACUCUUACUGGCAAUAAGACAAAAAUGAAAAUUUGUUUUGAUUCCUCUCGCGCCUCCAACGGUCCACUACAAAAAAGAAAAUAAAAGUGGAAAAGAAAGGGCUUUAUUUUCUCUCUUGGGGGGGACACCGACGAUAUCCUUCACACAUCACACCUUCGUCAUCUCUUUCGCACCAACGCCGCUGCCAAACACUCGAUAUCUCCACCAACUCGCCGCCACGACCCAAACACACUUCCGUUUCCUCACACUCUCAACCUUCACGAACACAGCCACUAAAAUAGCUACCUCCAGUUCCAACGACAUCCCGUGUGUUUCCGACCACCACCUUGUUUGAAUCUGACAAAGUACAACAACAAUAGUUUUUGGCCAGUAGCAAUAAUAACGAAGAUCAACUUAGUACUGACAACACCGUGGUGACAAGGCGUCGGUUGAAUCGCUUCGCCGGAUUCGUUCUUGCGAGCCAAAGAGUCGAUUCGAUGAAAAUAACACUACUAUGACGUUGUUGUGUUUGAUUUGCAUUAAUUGUUCGACAUCGCGAACACAUACGAUCCAUUUCCAUCGUGUACUUUGGUUUUCAUUUGUUGUGUUUUGUUUUGCAAUCUGUUUACAGGUAUGACAUAAUGUUGUUUUUGGCUUUUACGAAUCAUUUCGGCUAGCUGAAUGGUUAAUUUCAUCUUCCAUGCUAUGUACGAGAUUAAAAUUUUGUGGAUGCGCCGAUGCGAUAAGUGUUUAAGCACUACGUUAUUGUUGGUAUUAACUCUUGUUAAUGAUUCGACGCUACAGUAAUAUUUUGGACGAGAUUUCGGUUGCAUUACGUUUGUGCUGCUUUGUUACAAGCCUUUCUUGUAUUUCGAUUUGUUUUCAUUAUCAUUGCAUCAGUGUUAUAUUCAUAUUUUAUAGUGAUUAACCUAAAUGAUGUUGUUUGUGGUAACUCUAGGAGAAAGGUGUUUGCUGUCAUUUUAAAAUGUGUUUUACUUCAGUUUCCUGCUGCUAUCACUUUUAAUUAGUAAUGGUUAUUUAUUUUCCUUCAUUUUAAUCAUUGUUUUAUUAAUUCAUAUCAUGUGAGUGUCUUUAUGUUUGUUAUUAGCAUAUUAGGUAUAGUGAAUGGGAAUGAGAGACACAGAGUUAUACCAUUUAUACUAUUAUCGUUCUAAUUUUUCUAAACGUUUUUAUUUGACCUCAGUUGGUUUUUAUUUUAUAUAGUCUUGCUUAGGAUUGUUCUGAGAAUUUUACAUUGUUACAAAGCAAGAAUAGCCUACAUAAUUUACUAGAUCGACGAGAACCGAAAAUUAGUACGUGGUAUAGCUAGUAUAGGAAGAAAUACUUUCUAAUUUUAAAAGUUAUUUACUCAUUAAGUAACAAAUUAUAUUUAAAUAAUUACCUAAAUAAUUUAAUUAUUAUAAAUGACAUUUUGUAAAUAAC